This 497-nucleotide ribosomal RNA is filed under the name uncultured bacterium. RNAcentral describes it as "partial 16S ribosomal RNA". It matches the Rfam family "Bacterial small subunit ribosomal RNA", at positions 28 to 507 of the family's 1533-position model. The record is from RNAcentral.
GAUGAACGCUGGCGGCGUGCCUAAUACAUGCAAGUCGAGCGAACGGACGAGAAGCUUGCUUCUCUGAUGUUAGCGGCGGACGGGUGAGUAACACGUGGAUAACCUACCUAUAAGACUGGGAUAACUUCGGGAAACCGUAGCUAAUACCGGAUAAUAUUUUGAACCGCAUGGUUCAAAAGUGAAAGACGGUCUUGCUGUCACUUGUAGAUGGAUCCGCGCUGCAUUAGCUAGUUGGUAAGGUAACGGCUUACCAAGGCAACGAUGCAUAGCCGACCUGAGAGGGUGAUCGGCCACACUGGAACUGAGACACGGUCCAGACCCCUACGGGAGGCAGCAGUAGGGAAUCUUCCGCAAUGGGCGAAAGCCUGACUGAGCAACGCCGCGUGAGUGAUGAAGGUCUUCGGAUCGUAAAACUCUGUUAUUAGGGAAGAACAUAUGUGUAAGUAACUGUGCACAUCUUGACGGUACCUAAUCAGAAAGCCACGGCUAACUACGUG